Anguilla anguilla (European eel) is the source of this 6459-nucleotide long non-coding RNA. RefSeq lists it as uncharacterized. NCBI's taxonomy places the organism in Eukaryota, Metazoa, Chordata, Actinopteri, Anguilliformes, Anguillidae. The record is from RefSeq and is a predicted model, not a curated record. The transcript is spliced from 4 exons.
AGCCGGGCGGCCCUAUACGCUCACUACGCAAGUUGCGUAGGGCCCCGCAAAUUACGCAAGGGCCCCGCCUCCCCCUCGUGUCAAAGCGGGUAUCAAUGUUUACAACUUAGAUGAGAGGAUGACGCGAAACUAUCCUUCUGGUCACGAAAAGAGAAAGAAAAGAAAAAACACACCAUGAGAGUGAAUUGCAGGAACAGUAAUCAGGACUGCAUAGAAUUGACCCACGUCUUGGUGACUGGAUGGUGGGGACCCACACUGGUAGUGGUGGCUGCACUAAUAUUACUGGUGGUGAAACUGUGGGAUUUAAAGGAAUGUUCCCAGCCCCUGACCCAUGAGGUGGCAUUGUAAGUACUGCAAUUUCUCCUCACCCAACCAGCGCACUCUAAUAAUUCACUACAAACUGAAACACUGUCAUCACGCAAGGAACUGUCCCCUACUCUGCAUCUUUGAAGACUGUGUGUGCUCAUUUAGGACUGAACUAGCUCUGAAAAAACACCUAACCAAGAGACCUUAGACAGUCUUGUUCAGGUCUGUACCGCGACUUCAAAGCUUAAGUGUGACCUUUGCAAUUUCUCUCAGACCUGUAGUGUUACACAGUAUUUCACUCAUUUAAAGACUCAUUUUAGAAAUAAGGAGACUGUGAACUGUCCUUUUAAAGACUGCAGUUUUCAGUCUAGUGUAUAUAGUACUUUCCGUGCCCAUAAGAGUAGAAGCCAUCACCUGUGUACCAUAGACAGUUUUUGUGGGGACAUAUAUAAAACUUGCCCUUCAAGUGUUUCAGAUUUUGAAAGUACAGAUUUUGAGGCGAAUUUGGAUCAGCUGGACUUUGCAACAUCAGAUUGUGAUGUGGAAUAUGAUGAAGACCUGAAUGAUUUACUUAAACAUAAACUAAGUACAAAAAACAUCACUGUUUUUUGGGAUGCAAACAGUUCUACAUGUCUCCAAGGCAACAACUCAGGAAAUUGUGAAUGAACUUUGCAGUAUUGGCUCAAUUGUUGAAGAGCUUACAUCAAAAUUAAUUGAAAGCAUAUUGAUUAAGCACAACUGUAUAAUAAGCAACUCAGUCACUACUGCCAUAACAGAGAUAGUUAAAAAAACAAAUCCACUCGGCUCCUUGUCAAAAAUGGUCCAUUUGACUCUAAGUACAGAAGAACCACUUUUUACAAAAACAAUUUCAAGGUGAUUGAGCCCAUCGAAAACAUUUUAGAUGCAUCUUCCAAAAGUAAGUUUGUUUAUAUUCCUGUUUAAAAAAUCUUGUCAGAGCUGUUAAAUCGUAAUGAUGUUCUGGAUAAAAUCUUGCAGACAGAAGAUUUGGAAGCUGUUGGGACAGUUGAUUCUGUUUAAAACAUACAGAGAUGGGCUAUACUGCAAAGAGAACUAGUUGCUCUCUUCAGAAGGUUUGAACAUAGCUCUGGGACUGUACAUAGAUGAUUUAGAAGUGUGUAAUCCAUUAGGAACGUCACGAAAGAAGCAUAAGGUCUGUGCAGUUUAUUGGGUAAUUUCAAAUUUACCAAUACAGUAUAGGUCAUCUUUACAGUCAAUCUAUCUGGCCUGCCUGUGUAAUAGCAAUGAUGUAAAAAAAUUAUGGCUAUGAUGGCAUUCCUGAACCAUUUUCCCCAGAUUUUCUGCAUGACCUUCUAGAAGGAAUUGUACCAAAAGAAUUAAGUCUAUGUCUAAAUUCUCUGAUUUGCAAACAUUAUUUUACAUUAGAUGACCUCAAUUACACUAUCCAGUCCUUUCCUUUCAAAUUUUCUGACAAAAUAAACAGACUACAACAAAUUGCAAAAAUAUUUGUAUUAAAAUGUUCUAUUGGUGGAAAUGGACAUGAAAAUUUGACUUCAUUGAGACUACUGCCAUUGAUGAUUGGUGACAAAAUACCAGAAAAUGACUAAACCUGGGAAAUUUUAUUUGACCUAAAAGAAAUUGUCUGGCUGGUGGACAUUUUUCAAAUGAGACAUUGUGCUAUUUGGGGUCUAAAAUCUAAGAUCACCGGUACUUUCUAAAAGCGUUUCCAGACUUCAGCCUGCAGCCCAAGCAUCACUUUUUGGAGCACUACCCUAAAUUAAUUCAUAGAUUUGAACCUCUGAUCAAAUUUUUGAACAAUUCGAUUUGAAGCUAACCAUAGCUUUUUUAAGAGGGUGGUGCAUGACACAAACAAUUACAGAAAUCUCUUGCUCACUCUGGCCACAAAGCACCAACUUUCAUUAGCUUACUAUCUAGACCUGCCAAGUGUUUUCAAACCUGAUUUGGAAGUAGGUCAUGUUGCUGUCGUUUCUGAUACACUAGAGCACUCAUUGAAGCAGGGUAUAGAGCUGAAAUAUACUAACAUUACCACUGUAUCUCUUGCAACCCAAGUAUGCCUCUGCAGCAUCAAGUAUUCAGAGGGAAUGUUUCUGUCUGUGGGAUACACCAGUGGACUGCCUGAUUUUGGCAAGCUAGUUAAAAUGAUAAUUGUGUCCAAUAGAGUGUCAUUCAUUGUUGAACCCUUCACAGCGUGGUACGUAGAGCACUUGCGGAGUUAUGAACUGACAAAAAAAACACUCUUCCGAACUAAAUGUUGAGGAACCACAUGAGCUAAAUGGAUGUCACUCCCUGUACCCAUGUAAAAGAGCAGGCAAACUAACUGUAACACCAAAAACCUUCCUCCUUCACUGUUGUACUGGGCAUGUGCUUUCAUUAUUAGUAGUAUGUAACCAAACGAUAGGAGGCGCCACCGGGGAGGGGUGACGGGAUUAUUUAACACAAACACAAGAACGGAUAUGGUUGUCUCGGUCAACGUAACCGGGACUUUUAUUUUGAAAACAGGGAAAACAAGCAAAAUAAUACAAACAAAACGCUAGCUCCAAGUGAGCCUAAUUGUACAGGUCUUUUGGGCCCUGUCUAAAGUCGGGCAGCUAAGCUGCUUAUCGACAAGACAAAUUGUAGACAAAAGAAUGGUCAAAAACAAGAACAGUUCGGUACACGUUCAGUUCCUCACAGAAAAUGGGUCAAAAGGUAAUCGAGCACUCAGACAGAAAACAGGUCAUUCACAGGUUCCAACACAAUAUCUGUAACACUUACACAGUCUUUCCACAAAGAAAACUCCAAACUUCCACACCUUCACAGCUGUAUGGGCACCUACUUAUACUGAGCUUGAUUAGGUAGAAUGGUUUUCAGGUGGGAUUAACAAGGGGGUGGAGCUGGCAAUUGGAAGGGGGUGGAAUGAAAAAUACCGGCCUUCCACUACAGCUUCCCUCAUGGCCUUACAUAGUAUUAUCAGGGAUGGACAGUAUUUCUGAUAAAUGUAUUUGGGUAUUUUGAUGAAUUUUUGGCCAUCCCUAGAAACUGCUAAUAUGUUCAAUUUUAAUUCAUAUUUUGUCUAGGUUUUUAACAUUUUCAAAUUAUGAUUAUUCUAUGAGUGAUUAUUAUUACUCAUUUAAUCCCUAACUCUGGAGAAGCUCAGGAAGUUUCAGUAUUCAAGCAAGAUGCUGUUUUGUGUGAUCAUCUCAUAACAGGACGUUCGUAAAAUUAAACUUGAAACUGUUCCAGAUACAGUUGAUGGCCUUAAACUGAUGCUGAAAAGCAAGCUGCAGCUACAAUAAUCUUUUGAUCUUCAGUAUGAAGAUUAAGACUUUCAUGAUUUUUACAACCUUACAUGUGUAGUUGAUCUGCCGAAGGAGAAGGUGACAUUGAAGGUCCUUUUCAGCCCUUUUACGGAUACAUUUUCAGACUCCAGUUUGGACACUGCAGCCAUAUCUGUACAGUCAUCUCCAUCAGUGUUGUCUUCGGUAAGCAACCAUUCACAGUCACCUCCAGGUCGUUCACAGGUAUGGCCAACUCCCUUUACCAUUCCAACCUUCACAUGUGAUGUUGAACUGAGGCUUAGGCAAGGGAAUGAGGCCUAUAGAAAAAAUGGCACUCUUCUGACCAUUUCCAGAGACAUGAAGAGUGAAAUCCUGGACAAAAUUGUUGAAGCAAUAUAUUCUUACAAGGCCUACCCAGUAAAUGAUGAAUUUGAAAGUGUAGCCAUUGCCCUAAUUGAAAAACACCUCUGUCUAAAAGAACCAGGCUCCACAUUUGGGUGGUAUGGGUGGAAACUAAGUUUGAAGUUUAAGAUGGGAAAUUAUAGACAAAAACUGAGAGAUGCAGGUGUUCAAGAACUGAAAGUGAAUUCAGAGAAGAGAGGCCCUGGGGAGACGAGCGGAAAACGAAACAAAGUGAAGAAAUCUAGACGGUCUGAAACAAACUUUCUUCCAGCUCAGCUCCCUGAUGGAAAAGAUUCCAGUAGCCUAGAAAAAAAGAGAGCAAAUAGCCCAAGAGAUGAAGAAAAGGAACCCUGAUUUGGCCUUCAUAGAUACAGCAAUGUGCAGCACAUAGUCUUUGAGAAGACAGGAAAUUGUAGAAGAUGAGCCUCCAGUGUCAAAAGUGAAAGUCAGAUGGUCGCUUACUCACCCUGAUUUUUAUUACCUUGUGAAUACCUCCAGAGUGAACCCCACUGGUAGUAUGGACGAACGCAUGUACUUUCUGGGGUAAAAGGGAGGAGCCUCUGCCGCUGGGAGCCAGCGGCAGCUUCCCUAUCGGUUAAUCGAACUGUCUGUCUCAGUGUGCCAGUGUCCCCCUUCCCCCCCCGACACUCCCUCUGUUCCGUGUGUGCUGCAAUCCAAGUCCCGACUGAAACACACCAGCAACACGGACAAAGCUAUCGAGCUAUUCGAAGAUUUUAAUUCUGUUAUAUCACAGACUUGCCAAAUACAUGGCGUGACUUCGUUGAAGGACCUUCAGCGCAUGUGUUUGGAUACGCUGUUAUCGUCUGCUAGCAAAUAAAUACUCAGAAAAAUGGCCAGAAGAACCAAUGGGUUUGAUUGUUUGCCCAUUACCAUCAAUAAUGGAGGAGAAAGUGGAAUUGUUGAACCAAAAAGGAAUUAAAUAAAUAAAUUUAUCACCGAUAAAUUGUGUUUGUUUCUUUUAUUAUCGAACCUCAAACCGCAGACUCUGCAUAUCUCGGUGAUAAACUUUGAUGGUGUGGUUGGUGCUCUGACAUUAACGUUAGCCAUUUUCCCCAAAUAGUGGCGAACUGAUGCGGGUCUGUGGAAAGGUUUGCCUCCAGUAAUGUUUUUUUCCGGUGCAUGUGUCCGACUACGCCUGGCCAAAAUCGUCACCACAUUUGGAGCACCGCCCCUCUGCAUUCUGAUUGGUUGGGAAGGUUGCCUCCUUCGUUUAUGCCUAGAACAUCAGGCCAUCGGCCAGGCUCUGUUGAACGAAGUGAAAAAAGAGACUGGCUCGCGAGGCUACCCCACCAGUGUAUACGCCUCCUUUGAUCUGUACGAGUCUGCCUGAUGGCCUAGUGUUCAUGCAGCGUUUCCCAUUAAUUACCUAGACUGUGGCGGUCUAAUUUGUAAAAGAUCUCUAGCUAACCUUGUGUUUCACGCCCGUUGCUUCAGCAAAGCAGCUGUUGCUCCCGGUCAGUCAGCCCCUCCCCCCUCCCACUGUACGUGUGCACGCUCAGACACGCACUGGAACAUUCCUGGCUGCAUCCGAGACACGAGGCAGACACCAAGGCAUUUUGAGGAAACAACAUUGUUUGAGGCCACUGAUCCUGAAAAUGACAUCAUCAAGGGUAUGACGAUUGGAAUCCUUGCAGUUGUGGAGGAUAUGAAGGAACCACUCCCAGCAAUCUACAGUGUGGCCCUGGUUUUUGAAGAACAAGUUCUUUGUAAUCUUGCCGAUGUACCGAGUGAACUUGAUGGGGCUGCUCUAUAUAUUAAAUGUGAACUAUCCAAAAGAACUGAGAUAUACCUUUGAGGUAAGAGUCCACUGCAAGAGUCCACUCUCUCAAAAAUAAUUACUGAGUUAGGGAGAUGGGUAUUUUGUGUGUUAAGGUAUGCCAUUGAACUUGUAUGUUUUUCUAGAUCUGUCCCAAUGGAAGGGUUUUUAUUUUUAUUUUUUGACCUAACAAGCUCAAAUUCAUAUACUAGGACAGUGAAGAAUUCAAUAUUGACGUUGAAAGAUAACUUUAUUUUGUAUUUCAAAGUCUGUAUUUUCAGUUUUAGAUUAACAUUGAAAAAUUCAAGACUGCUAUUGAAGGAAAUUAUUUUGUGCUUUGGUAAGACUGUCAGAUUUAGCACCAGUGGCAGUGACACUGAAGGUAUUUGCCUGUGUUUUGUGACACAGUUGCUUUUGUGUUGUGUAAUGUUGAAACACCUCUUUCUACACUGAUAGUUUGUCUUGGUUUAUGUAAAACUGAGAGCUUGUAAGUCAUGUGUGUCAAGGUUUCGAGGGGGUUGGACCCAGGCGCAGAGUGAAACACAUGAAACUCAAGAGGUAAAGGAAAAUAACUACUCUACUACAAAAAAAGGCAAACACAAACAGGGAACAGAAAAGGCCACGAUGGGCAAAACAACUCAAAAAUUCUUAAGAACUAAAAGAACACAGAACAGAACACAGGCAGGGCAGAACACAGGCAGGCAGGAUACAGGCGGG